Molecule: ribosomal RNA, 398 nt
Filed under: Pseudomonas sp. CRT17
Lineage: Bacteria; Pseudomonadati; Pseudomonadota; Gammaproteobacteria; Pseudomonadales; Pseudomonadaceae
Description: bacterial SSU rRNA
Rfam family: Bacterial small subunit ribosomal RNA
Source: RNAcentral
AGCUUGCUCUCUGAUUCAGCGGCGGACGGGUGAGUAUGCCUAGGAAUCUGCCUGAUAGUGGGGGACAACGUUUCGAAAGGAACGCUAAUACCGCAUACGUCCUACGGGAGAAAGCAGGGGACCUUCGGGCCUUGCGCUAUCAGAUGAGCCUAGGUCGGAUUAGCUAGUUGGUGAGGUAACGGCUCACCAAGGCGACGAUCCGUAACUGGUCUGAGAGGAUGAUCAGUCACACUGGAACUGAGACACGGUCCAGACUCCUACGGGAGGCAGCAGUGGGGAAUAUUGGACAAUGGGCGAAAGCCUGAUCCAGCCAUGCCGCGUGUGUGAAGAAGGUCUUCCGAUUGUAAAGCACUUUAAGUUGGGAGGAAGGGCAUUAACCUAAUACGUUAGUGUUUUGA